Molecule: unclassified non-coding RNA, 242 nt
Filed under: uncultured fungus
Lineage: Eukaryota; Fungi
Description: sequence contains ITS2
Source: RNAcentral
AACGCACAUUGCGCCCCUUGGUAUUCCAUGGGGCAUGCCUGUUCGAGCGUCAUUUGAUACCUCAAGCUUUGCUUGGUGUUGGGUGUUUGUCCUGCCCAGGGACUCGCCUUAAAGCAAUUGGCAGCCAACGUACCGGUCGUGGAGCGCAGCACAAUCUUGCAAUCCCGCCAGCGUGUUGGCAUCCAUGAAGCCUAUUUUCACAGUUUGACCUCGGAUCAGGUAGGGAUACCCGCUGAACUUAA